UACGUAGGUGGCAAGCGUUAUCCGGAAUUAUUGGGCGUAAAGAGCGCGCAGGUGGUUGAUUAAGUCUGAUGUGAAAGCCCACGGCUUAACCGUGGAGGGUCAUUGGAAACUGGGUCACUUGAAUAUAGAAGAGGAAAGUGGAAUUCCAUGUGUAGCGGUGAAAUGCGUAGAUAUAUGGAGGAACACCAGUGGCGAAGGCGACUUUCUGGACUUUAACUGACGCUGAGGAACGAAAGCGUGGGUAGCAAACAGGAUUAGAUACCCGGGUAGUCCCU
Molecule: ribosomal RNA, 275 nt
Filed under: uncultured prokaryote
Description: partial 16S ribosomal RNA
Rfam family: Bacterial small subunit ribosomal RNA
Source: RNAcentral